Molecule: transfer RNA, 72 nt
Filed under: Pseudotrichonotus altivelis
Lineage: Eukaryota; Metazoa; Chordata; Actinopteri; Aulopiformes; Pseudotrichonotidae
Description: tRNA-Leu
Source: RNAcentral
GCUUUUAAAGGAUAAUAGAGAUCCACUGGUCUUAGGACCCAGGCACUCUUGGUGCAAGUCCAAGUAAAAGCA